Homo sapiens (human) is the source of this 1492-nucleotide long non-coding RNA. Lineage: Eukaryota; Metazoa; Chordata; Mammalia; Primates; Hominidae. The record is from Ensembl.
GAGUUAUGUGGUAGAAAGUGGCAGGCUGGAGUUAUGCGGCUCACUUUCUAGCCAGAAGGAGGGAGACUGAAUGGAGGCACAUUGAAGAUGCCUGCUUCCUCUUCCACCGUGAUUGGACGUUUCCUGAGGCCUCCUCAGCCAUGUGAAACUGCUGGAAUAAGGAUGGGAUGCUGGUGAGUUAGCUUUGACAAUGCCGAAUAGAAAAACACUCUAAGGGAUCUGGAUGCUGGAUGAACUCACUGGAGCAUUACUGCCUGUUUGCCCUGUUUCUUCUCACCUGUCUCUUCCAAUGCUAAGCCAUAUGCAAGCCUCUUCUAAACUCAGGUUCCACUGGCUGAAAGAUGACAAAGGGAGGAUGUAGAGCAAUUCUGAAAAGCUGAGUAUUUUCUCCAACGAAACUACAUUAACCUGGAAGAGACUAGGUUAUAUUGAAUCUAAAAUGGUGGUGUUAUUCAUCCACUUCGUAUCAGAAAUGGAGGUCCCUGAUGAAAUUAUAGUCAGUACAAACAUACAGUUAGAUAGAAGGACAAGUUCUAGUAUUUGAUAGUUCACUAGGAAAAUUAUAGCUAACAACAAUUUCUGUAUGUUUCAAAAUAGCUAGAAGAGAAGAAUUACAAUGUUCCUAACAACAAAAAAGACAAAUAUUUGAGGUUAUGAAUAUCCCAAUUACUCUGAUUUGAUCAUUACACAGUGUAUACAUGUAUCAAAAUAUUACAUAUGCCACCAAGAUAUGUACAACUAUUAUAUGACAAUGAAAAUUUUUUAAAAAAAGUUAGUAUGGUGAGAAAGAUUUUCUGAAUAUCUGAUGUAGUUGUAGGCUCUAAACUAUAUUACCAUAAAAUAGAUAAUUUAUUGAAUUCAAAGACUACUCUUCUAGCAAUGUUUUGCUGGUUUUGAGACAAGGUCUUGCUCUGUUGCCCAGGCUGGAGUGCAGUGUGGUGCAAUCAUAGCUCACUUCAGUCUCAAAGUCCUGGGCUCAAGUAAUCUUCCUGCCACAGCCUCCUGAGAAGGUGCACACCACACCUGGCUGGUGCUGUGUUUCAAACAUGGGUAUAGAAGGCAAGGAGGCAAGACCUCUGCUCCAAAGGGAAUGCUAGUAAUAGAGAGAAUAAAGUGCAAAUGGGUAAUUGAUAUUCAUUUUGGAAAAUAUUCACUAUAAAAAUGUAAAUUCUUCUUAUGGUUUAGGAGGUUUAGAAGGUUUAGGAGGCACACAUAGGGAGAAAUCGAUUAAAUGCAGAAGAAUUAGAAAUGACUUUUGAAUCUAAUUACUUCAGGUACUUGCAACAAUAUUGCCAUUAGUUGGGAAAAUGAUGUUUAAAUCCUAGGUGCCAUCCUUUUAUUAGAGUGAUGUUCAAUGGAAGGAAGUUCAAAGACCCUCCACUUUUGGAGGCCACCUUGGAACUGCCUGGAAGAAAUAAUUUCUAUUGUGACUUUGAGAUUAACAUGCAUUUAAUUGUGUUAUGUUUGUUAGUAGCAAAUAAUUAUGGUUUAA